ACCCAAACAAGCUCUUUCAGUAGUGGAGUGACCGAGCCCAAAAUAUGGCCUCCAAGGUGUUCGCAGUGCUGGCUAUCGUUCUGGCCCUCACCCAUGGGCAUCUCCCUGCUGUGAUGGGCGAGACGACGCCAUCAGAUCGUCCAAAAGUCUUACCACGUCAAGAUGCUGCUCCGGCAGCAGCUGGGAAUGGUGCAGCUGCAGCCCCUGGAUUCACUGAGGAGAAGGGAUGGUUCUUUCAGCGUCCGCUAGCAAGGCCGACCCCUCUUCCUCCUUCCUUAAAGCUGUGAAGUGACUUGAUAUCUUCCUAGAGUUUGUAUCUGCUCAUUAUAAUGAAGCAGAGUACGCAAAGCGAAUAAGUAGACCACUACUGGCUACAAAUGGUUGAGUUCCCCGCUAUGGUACCGUUAUAUGAUGUUUGCCUGGACACACGGAUGUGCUUGGGCAAAACAGUGUGCUAACUAUAUCAGAUAAUAUCAGCCUCUCGGUUCUGAACA
Molecule: long non-coding RNA, 494 nt
Organism: Triticum aestivum (bread wheat)
Lineage: Eukaryota; Viridiplantae; Streptophyta; Magnoliopsida; Poales; Poaceae
Exons: 2
Source: RefSeq, a predicted model, not a curated record